AGAGUUUGAUCCUGGCUCAGGAUGAACGCUAGCUACAGGCUUAACACAUGCAAGUCGAGGGGAAACGAUAUUGGAAGCUUGCUUCCGAUAGGCGUCGACCGGCGCACGGGUGAGUAACGCGUAUCCAACCUGCCCAUCACUUGGGAAUAACCUUGCGAAAGUAAGACUAAUGCCCAAUGACAUUUAUAGAAGGCAUCUGAAAUGAAUUAAAGAUUUAUCGGUGAUGGAUGGGGAUGCGUCUGAUUAGCUUGUUGGCGGGGUAACGGCCCACCAAGGCGACGAUCAGUAGGGGUUCUGAGAGGAAGGUCCCCCACAUUGGAACUGAGACACGGUCCAAACUCCUACGGGAGGCAGCAGUGAGGAAUAUUGGUCAAUGGGCGAGAGCCUGAACCAGCCAAGUAGCGUGCAGGAUGACGGCCCUAUGGGUUGUAAACUGCUUUUAUAGGGGAAUAAAGUGAGCCACGUGUGGUUUUUUGCAUGUACCCUAUGAAUAAGGACCGGCUAAUUCCGUGCCAGCAGCCGCGGUAAUACGGAAGGUCCGGGCGUUAUCCGGAUUUAUUGGGUUUAAAGGGAGCGUAGGCCGGAGAUUAAGCGUGUUGUGAAAUGUAGAUGCUCAACAUCUGCACUGCAGCGCGAACUGGUUUCCUUGAGUACGCAUAAAGUGGGCGGAAUUCGUGGUGUAGCGGUGAAAUGCUUAGAUAUCACGAAGAACUCCGAUUGCGAAGGCAGCUCACUGGGGCGCAACUGACGCUGAAGCUCGAAAGCGCGGGUAUCGAACAGGAUUAGAUACCCUGGUAGUCCGCGCGGUAAACGAUGGAUGCCCGCUGUUGGGCCAACUGGUUCAGCGGCCAAGCGAAAGCAUUAAGCAUCCCACCUGGGGAGUACGCCGGCAACGGUGAAACUCAAAGGAAUUGACGGGGGCCCGCACAAGCGGAGGAACAUGUGGUUUAAUUCGAUGAUACGCGAGGAACCUUACCCGGGCUUGAAUUGCAGAGGAAGGAUUUGGAGACAAUGACGCCCUUCGGGGCCUCUGUGAAGGUGCUGCAUGGUUGUCGUCAGCUCGUGCCGUGAGGUGUCGGCUUAAGUGCCAUAACGAGCGCAACCCCUCUCCAUAGUUGCCAUCAGGUGAAGCUGGGCACUCUGUGGACACUGCCACCGUAAGGUGCGAGGAAGGUGGGGAUGACGUCAAAUCAGCACGGCCCUUACGUCC
This 1210-nucleotide ribosomal RNA is filed under the name metagenome. RNAcentral describes it as "bacterial SSU rRNA". It matches the Rfam family "Bacterial small subunit ribosomal RNA", at positions 8 to 1209 of the family's 1533-position model. The record is from RNAcentral.